AGCAGCCUCAGGCUGAGGCCGCUGAGCUCCAGCUGGCGCUGCGCUAGGCGGCUAGAGUUAUGGGUUGCCAGUAUCCACUACAGUAGUGUGUUACCUUUGUCCAUGCUUGUGCAUGGGUACGUAUGGGGUUGCUGUCUACGCCAGGGCAAGCCCGGCCAUCAGUUAUCAUUGAUAGGGCAGUUUCUCCUGGAGCUGUGAGAAGCGAUGGAGAUGACAGAUUGCCUAGUGGAGACGCAGGGCUUGCAUGCAACACCACUUCAGUCUGUCCCCUUCUGCAGUGACCUUAUGAUAUCUAUUAGCAAGCUGGUGGAGGCACAAGUCCAGGAGCAGAGGAUACAACAGAACAGACCUACCUUAAUGUGCUGGGAAACCACUGGAUCUCCUGUGCCAGCAGCCAGCAGAGAGCAGGCUGCAGGCUGGGGAAGGGUUCCAUAUUUCUAAUCCUCCAAGGUGUACCAAGCCAUGAGUGCCUUCCCUGUCUCUAUGAUCAUGAGAAUUCCACUGGAGCAUGUUAUUCUUCAGUGCAAGGUGUGUUGACCUGGUCGUAUCCUUGGGAGUGUUGACGAGUUCAUGGCAUCUUCCUGGGCACCAUUGACCAAGACAAGAGAGGUCAAGACAAGUCUGACCCCACUGUUGAUCUCUUGGCAAUGUAAUGUCUGCAGGACUUGGCAAUUUCUCCUGGAGCUGCAGGAGGUGAUGGAGGUGGUGAUAGAAUACCUGAUGGAGACAUGGGGCUUGCAUGCAACACCUCCUCAGGCUGACCUGCGAUGACCGUUUGAUGUUUGUUAGCAAGCUGGUGGAAUCACAGGGCGAAGUGAAAAGGCUAAGCAGGAACUGAUAAAGUGUGUGCUGUCUUUAUCCGUACACUGCUGGUUUGACCCAUCGAGAUGCUGCCUCUCUCCAGGCUGGGUGGUGGAGUGCGUUCGGGCGGGUCGUUCUCCGGCAUACGGUGGCAGGCAGCCUGGGUUCAAGUUCCUGCCAGGCUGCCAUGGCAUGCGGUGGAAGAUGAACGUAGGGAUGCAGCGCUCACCCGCCCAAUGGCGUUAUGCUGGCAAGACGUGUGUGCGCUAAAAAGUGUGUCUGGUCACUGCCUUGUCACGAGUUUAGUAAGCUGUAAGGUGUUUGUCUGGUGUCGUUGUUGUAUGUCGGGAAGCAGUGCAGUGUACAACAAGGAAGGUUGGGCUAUGCCGGUCAUCCCCCUAAACAUGGGCAAACAAGUUCCGGGCGUCAGUCAUUCCCGCCACAAGUCUGGUACCGGCGUCCCUACAUAUACGCACUAUCAACUUGCAUGGUAGAGCCAUAUCUGUUUCAUCCAAGGUAACUCCUCGGCCACAUCGACGCAAGGAGUUCGACCUGUACCCGCCCAAGCAGAAGCUCCGGCAUCCUGCUGCUCCUGAUCUGUCUAAAUGAUAGCAGUCUAGUCUGCCUCUUCAGAAGAGGAAGCCGACCGCGGAGGCGUGCGGUCCGGCACAGGUCCUGCCACUUCUGAAGGGAGAACCAAAUCAGCGCUUCCUAACAACCCCUAACCUGCGGCACGAAACUGGCUAUUCUUGCAGUGGAAGACGCAAAGUGACUCGCUGCACGGAGGAAUUUGACCCUGCCUCGCACCAGCUAUGCCUUAACACGUGGUGCUAUCCAGGAGGGAAAGACGCAUUGCCUCGCUGCACCUACCAUACAGGAUUUGGACUCGCCCGGAGCACUCUCGGUGCCAUCUAGGGAGGAAGAAACAAUUUCCUCAUCUAAUUCAACCUAACCAAUACAUGUUGGCAAUCAAUCUUGUGAUGUUAUUUGUUCCAUCUUUGAAUGUACCGAACUGAACCUAACCAAUACAUGUUGCCGAUCACUCUUGUAAUGUUACUUUUCCUUCCAUCUAUGAAUGUACCCGCGUAAGUGUAAUGUUAUUGUUCCUUCCUUGUUAUGCGAUGUAUAACUUAAUAAAUCAUGAUUGAUAA
Portunus trituberculatus (swimming crab) is the source of this 1952-nucleotide long non-coding RNA. RefSeq lists it as uncharacterized. The record is from RefSeq and is a predicted model, not a curated record. NCBI's taxonomy places the organism in Eukaryota, Metazoa, Arthropoda, Malacostraca, Decapoda, Portunidae. The transcript has 10 exons.